Molecule: long non-coding RNA, 346 nt
Filed under: Chelonoidis abingdonii (Abingdon island giant tortoise)
Lineage: Eukaryota; Metazoa; Chordata; Testudines; Testudinidae
Description: lncRNA (ENSCABG00000007899.1)
Source: RNAcentral
ACUCAGAAUGGAGAGAAGGACCUGGUCACCCUCAGACCUGCCGAUACAGGGCGUAAGCCUGACUGGAAGGACACCAGAGGAGGAGUGAACAUCACUGAAGAUAAGUCUGAGAACCCAGCAGACUGGAGAUCUAAACUGAAGCCAGUGGCCAACAAAGACUCCAACCAGGGUGGUCCUAAGAAAUUGAUGGACAGCUCCAAGGUGACGAGCAACAUAGCCCUGAGCCCAGCACGGGGGGAGAAGUCGGCUUCAUCCAUUGCCACGCCGGCAAAUAAGGACCCUGGUAAGAUGGGUUAUUAACCUAGUACGGAGGGAACUUUGCCUACCAUUUCUCCAGCCAUCCAGG